RNAcentral lists this small nuclear RNA (109 nucleotides) under Chinchilla lanigera (long-tailed chinchilla). Lineage: Eukaryota; Metazoa; Chordata; Mammalia; Rodentia; Chinchillidae. The record is from RNAcentral.
AUGCGCUCACUUAAGCCGUACAUAUACUAAAAUCGGAACAAUACAGAGAAGAUUAGCAGAGCCCCUACUCAAGGAUGAAAUACAAAUUUGUGAAACAUUGCAUAGGAAA